CCAAUCAGAGCCAAUCAGGUUGGCCACAGUGAGAACAGGAUGCUGGACUCAAUGGGUCAUUGGCCUGAACCAGCAGCCUCUACUUAGGUUCUUACAGCUUGAGGUUCCACAGAGAAAAGAAAUUGUCAAGCAUCUAAAGCGGCGAAGAGAGCACGGGGCUCACCGGAUGAAUGUCACAUUUCAGCCUGGAAAGAUAGCAGCUGUUUUAUCUCUGGGAACAGGUGGCUCAAAGCUACAAAGAAGAUACAUUGGGCACGAUUCGGUCACCAUUUGCACCACUCUGGAGAAGACAAAAUGGGCCCUGAUCCAGGAGAGUUUGCUGGGAUUUACACCGUUGAGAGGGGAGGGGAGCAAAUUCAGCAUGGGUGCUCAGGAAGAGCAUAAUGGGCCUCAGAGACAGGGAAAAUUCAGGGGCCCAUUUGAGAAGAAGACUUUCCUUCACAAUUAAACAUUAUAUAUACAA
Molecule: long non-coding RNA, 463 nt
Organism: Podarcis raffonei (Aeolian wall lizard)
Lineage: Eukaryota; Metazoa; Chordata; Lepidosauria; Squamata; Lacertidae
Exons: 2
Source: RefSeq, a predicted model, not a curated record